Molecule: ribosomal RNA, 1022 nt
Filed under: uncultured Burkholderia sp.
Lineage: Bacteria; Pseudomonadati; Pseudomonadota; Betaproteobacteria; Burkholderiales; Burkholderiaceae
Description: bacterial SSU rRNA
Rfam family: Bacterial small subunit ribosomal RNA
Source: RNAcentral
UGGGCGAAAGCCUGAUCCAGCAAUGCCGCGUGUGUGAAGAAGGCCUUCGGGUUGUAAAGCACUUUUGUCCGGAAAGAAAUCCUUGGCUCUAAUACAGUCGGGGGAUGACGGUACCGGAAGAAUAAGCACCGGCUAACUACGUGCCAGCAGCCGCGGUAAUACGUAGGGUGCGAGCGUUAAUCGGAAUUACUGGGCGUAAAGCGUGCGCAGGCGGUUUGCUAAGACCGAUGUGAAAUCCCCGGGCUCAACCUGGGAACUGCAUUGGUGACUGGCAGGCUAGAGUAUGGCAGAGGGGGGUAGAAUUCCACGUGUAGCAGUGAAAUGCGUAGAGAUGUGGAGGAAUACCGAUGGCGAAGGCAGCCCCCUGGGCCAAUACUGACGCUCAUGCACGAAAGCGUGGGGAGCAAACAGGAUUAGAUACCCUGGUAGUCCACGCCCUAAACGAUGUCAACUAGUUGUUGGGGAUUCAUUUCCUUAGUAACGUAGCUAACGCGUGAAGUUGACCGCCUGGGGAGUACGGUCGCAAGAUUAAAACUCAAAGGAAUUGACGGGGACCCGCACAAGCGGUGGAUGAUGUGGAUUAAUGCGAUGCAACGCGAAAAACCUUACCUACCCUUGACAUGGUCGGAAUCCCGCUGAGAGGUGGGAGUGCUCGAAAGAGAACCGGCGCACAGGUGCUGCAUGGCUGUCGUCAGCUCGUGUCGUGAGAUGUUGGGUUAAGUCCCGCAACGAGCGCAACCCUUGUCCUUAGUUGCUACGCAAGAGCACUCUAAGGAGACUGCCGGUGACAAACCGGAGGAAGGUGGGGAUGACGUCAAGUCCUCAUGGCCCUUAUGGGUAGGGCUUCACACGUCAUACAAUGGUCGGAACAGAGGGUUGCCAACCCGCGAGGGGGAGCUAAUCCCAGAAAACCGAUCGUAGUCCGGAUUGCACUCUGCAACUCGAGUGCAUGAAGCUGGAAUCGCUAGUAAUCGCGGAUCAGCAUGCCGCGGUGAGUACGUUCCCGGGCCUUGUACACACCG